This 111-nucleotide ribosomal RNA is filed under the name Triticum aestivum (bread wheat). RNAcentral's name for it is "partial small subunit ribosomal RNA". Lineage: Eukaryota; Viridiplantae; Streptophyta; Magnoliopsida; Poales; Poaceae. The record is from RNAcentral.
AUGGAUGUGGGAGCAUCAACUCCAUUCCUUUGGGCCAUUGAGGAGUGUGAUAAAUUGUUAGAAUUCUAUGAAAGAUUACCAGGAGCCAGGAUGCAUGGCAAUUUCAUAUGA